Long non-coding RNA from Thalassophryne amazonica, 275 nucleotides. RefSeq lists it as uncharacterized. The transcript has 2 exons. NCBI's taxonomy places the organism in Eukaryota, Metazoa, Chordata, Actinopteri, Batrachoidiformes, Batrachoididae. The record is from RefSeq and is a predicted model, not a curated record.
UGAUUGUUUGGACGAGGUGGCGGUGGAGGAUAACACACAGUUAGGUUUCAGUGUUGCCGAACAUGAAUUUGGAAUUUCGCCUUUGAUGACAGUGGAGGAAAUGUCUUCAGUUGGAGAGCCAGACUCUCUGUCCAUGGUGAUGUACCUCAGCCAGUUCUAUCACCUGCUCAAGGAAACUGAACCCACUGAAGGAUGUCUUUCUCAGAGUGCAGACGUUCGAGCUGCUCUCAUCACACCAGCGUCCCUGCUCAGCAGAUUGGGACACUGUCCCUCCA